GAGGGGCUCGCGGCCUAUCAGCUAGUUGGUAGGGUAACGGCCUACCAAGGCGAUGACGGGUAGCUGGUCUGAGAGGACGACCAGCCACACGGGGACUGAGACACGGCCCCGACUCCUACGGGAGGCAGCAGUGGGGAAUUUUCCGCAAUGGGCGAAAGCCUGACGGAGUGACGCCGCGUGGGGGACGAAGGCCUUCGGGUCGUAAACCCCUGUCAGAGGGAAAGAUGGGUGUCGGCGUGAACAGCGCCGGCAUCUGACGGUACCUUCAGAGGAAGCCCCGGCCAACUCUGUGCCAGCAGCCGCGGUAAGACAGAGGGGGCAAGCGUUGCUCGGAAUUACUGGGCGUAAAGGGCGUGUAGGCGGAGCGGCAAGUCGGUCGUGAAAGCCUCCGGCUCAACUGGAGAACGUCGAUCGAUACUGCCGCCCUUGAGGGUAGCAGAGGAGACUGGAAUUCCCGGUGUAGCGGUGAAAUGUGUAGAGAUCGGGAGG
Molecule: ribosomal RNA, 489 nt
Filed under: uncultured bacterium
Lineage: Bacteria
Also listed under: 1 other name
Description: bacterial SSU rRNA
Rfam family: Bacterial small subunit ribosomal RNA
Source: RNAcentral